Molecule: long non-coding RNA, 770 nt
Organism: Cyprinodon tularosa
Lineage: Eukaryota; Metazoa; Chordata; Actinopteri; Cyprinodontiformes; Cyprinodontidae
Exons: 6
Source: RefSeq, a predicted model, not a curated record
ACCAGUAAGUGGCGGUAAUGCUACUAACAGUUUGUUGCCAACCGCCAUAAAACUCGACAAGAAGAAGAAGAAGACGCCUCACUCGUUCUCAGCACUUCAGUGAGAGCACAACUGCUAAAAUUUUUACACACAGGAAUAAAUGUCUUCAAUGUUUUCAGGAUUAAAACCAGAAACAAAAGGAGCAAAAGAAACCUGACAUGGAGCCCGAAUCAUCAAAAGGAGGAACAAAUGCCACAGCGCCCAUCAGGGUGGUGGUGCCCCUGGACCUGACUGCAACACAGUUUGUGCAGGUACUUCGGGACAAUGUAUCCGGAGUACCUGAGGAAUUCACAUUGUGAAGGGUCAAUGGGCAGCGGCAGGUUGAGCCAUUGGAGGUUACAACUCCAGGGGAGAUUCACAGCCUCCGCAGCCUGAACAGGUCUAACCUGUAUAUCAGGCCAAAGAAUUCCAACGCUGCAGAAGCAGUGAGUUCGCAGGAUGCCACUGUCCAGCAGCCGCCUCAGGUGGAAAUAGCAGCAGCCGGAGAAGACUUUAUGGAGGACCUCCAGGGGGAGGAGCAGGAUGAGGGGGAUGUCAUCCUGUUGGGAUCCCCAGCCCGACAAGACCCAGUAACUUCUCAUGAUGGAAGUCUCAGGAUCUCUGGGCGUCUUUGAGGGCAUGCCAGGAAAGAUGCUGUUUAGCUACGACCUGCAGGCGUUGGAGGGCCAUAAAUAUUAUCUUGCAGGCAAGCUGAUGGCCUGGUCCGUGAUCCACAGUGGUCCAGGCCUCCG